UGGGGAAUCUUGCGCAAUAGGCGAAAGCCUGACGCAGCAACGCCGCGUGAGCGAAGACGGCCUUCGGGUUGUAAAGCUCUGUCAGGAGGGACGAAGCCACUCGGGUGAACAGCCCAGAGGGUGACGGUACCUCCACAGGAAGCCCCGGCUAACUACGUGCCAGCAGCCGCGGUAAUACGUAGGGGGCGAGCGUUGUCCGGAAUCAUUGGGCGUAAAGCGCGUGUAGGCGGCCGACCAAGUCCGGUGUGAAAGCUCAGGGCUCAACCCUGAGUCUGGAAUGGAAACUGGCCGGCUUGAGGCCGGAAGAGGAGAAUGGAAUUCCUGGUGUAGCGGUGAAAUGCGCAGAUAUCAGGAAGAACAACGGUGGCGAAGGCGGGUCUCUGGGACGGUACUGACGCUGAGACGCGAAAGCGUGGGGAGCAAACAG
RNAcentral lists this ribosomal RNA (427 nucleotides) under uncultured bacterium. Its description in RNAcentral is "bacterial SSU rRNA". It matches the Rfam family "Bacterial small subunit ribosomal RNA", at positions 355 to 775 of the family's 1533-position model. The record is from RNAcentral.